CCCCCUCCUCCGGUCCUCCUGCGCGCCGCCGCCACGCCUUCCUCCUCUGGUCCUCCUCCUCCGCCUGACGUCCGCCCCGUGCUGGACAUGCGCCGCACUGUCGUCCGUAUCGGGCUCCCCAGCAAGGGCCCGCAUGGCCGAGCAAACCCUGAGCCUCCUCAAGGUCUGUAUCGGGCUCCCUGAUGCUGGCACAUGAUGCUUUGGAUGUCUGCUAACAAAAUAUACAGUAGCCAUGAUGUAGUGUGACUGGUUCUUGCAUUGGCAUAUCCAACAACAGAGUGGAAUUGCAUCGGCAGUGUGUUUCGCAUAUCGAAGCAGCUUGGAAUCUUGCAUAUUCUAUUGACAGCUCUGUGUUCAGCAGUGGUUCUGACCCCAAGUUGCAGGAUGAACAGUGAAGGCUUUACCUGUAUAGUGCAUUAUUCAUUCCCCUACGAAAUAUGUUCUACUUGGACAAAAGGUCUAAGAAGGUUGAGGACUACAUGCAAGGAGGAGCAAGCAGUUAGAAGAGAUUGGUUGAGGAUAAGGUGCUAGAAACAAGUGGAAGGCAGAAGAGAUAACAUAUGUGGUGUCUUAUUUACGUGCUUUGUACCAGAUUCUGUCAUUCUAUGUAUGUCUGGUAGCUUAGAAGUGAUUUUGCUACGUAUUUUUAUUUUAGAAUAUUUUUAUAUAUUGGGCUGCUAAAAUGGGCUUGGCCUA
This is a long non-coding RNA of Panicum hallii, 696 nucleotides long. RefSeq lists it as uncharacterized. NCBI's taxonomy places the organism in Eukaryota, Viridiplantae, Streptophyta, Magnoliopsida, Poales, Poaceae. The record is from RefSeq and is a predicted model, not a curated record. The transcript has 4 exons.